GGGGGUUCAGCUCGGCCAGCUGGCACGGUUCCACUGCAGUUCAGGACGGUGGCGAACCUUCCCGGACCCCCGGACGAACAGUUGGAAAGCGUGUUGGGGGCAACCCCUCACGAGUUCGAAUCUCGUAUCCUCCGCCA
This 137-nucleotide transfer RNA is filed under the name Streptomyces sp. ISL-111. Its description in RNAcentral is "tRNA-OTHER". Lineage: Bacteria; Bacillati; Actinomycetota; Actinomycetes; Kitasatosporales; Streptomycetaceae. The record is from RNAcentral. RNAcentral also lists the same sequence under 2 other names.